RNAcentral lists this ribosomal RNA (746 nucleotides) under uncultured Parvimonas sp. RNAcentral's name for it is "bacterial SSU rRNA". It matches the Rfam family "Bacterial small subunit ribosomal RNA", at positions 28 to 776 of the family's 1533-position model. The record is from RNAcentral. Lineage: Bacteria; Bacillati; Bacillota; Tissierellia; Tissierellales; Peptoniphilaceae.
GACGAACGCUGGCGGCGUGCUUAACACAUGCAAGUCGAACGUGAUUUUUGUGGAAAGCCCUUCGGGGACGGAAAUGAAAUGAAAGUGGCGAACGGGUGAGUAACACGUGAGCAACCUACCUUACACAGGGGGAUAGCCGUUGGAAACGACGAUUAAUACCGCAUGAGACCACAAAGCCACAUGGCUUAGGGGUAAAAGAUUUAUCGGUGUAAGAUGGGCUCGCGUCUGAUUAGCUAGUUGGAAGGGUAAAGGCCUACCAAGGCAACGAUCAGUAGCCGGUCUGAGAGGAUGAACGGCCACAUUGGAACUGAGCCACGGUCCAAACUCCUACGGGAGGCAGCAGUGGGGAAUAUUGCACAAUGGGGGGAACCCUGAUGCAGCGACGCCGCGUGAGCGAAGAAGGUUUUCGAAUCGUAAAGCUCUGUCCUAUGAGAAGAUAAUGACGGUAUCAUAGGAGGAAGCCCCGGCUAAAUACGUGCCAGCAGCCGCGGUAAUACGUAUGGGGCGAGCGUUGUCCGGAAUUAUUGGGCGUAAAGGGUACGUAGGCGGCCUUUUAAGUCAGGUGUGAAAGCGUGAGGCUUAACCUCAUUAAGCACUUGAAACUGGAAGGCUUGAGUGAAGGAGAGGAAAGUGGAAUUCCUAGUGUAGCGGUGAAAUGCGUAGAUAUUAGGAGGAAUACCGGUGGCGAAGCGAUUUUCUGGACUUUUACUGACGCUCAGGGACGAAAAGCGUGGGGAGCAAACAGG